Molecule: unclassified non-coding RNA, 222 nt
Filed under: Cirsium arvense
Lineage: Eukaryota; Viridiplantae; Streptophyta; Magnoliopsida; Asterales; Asteraceae
Description: partial internal transcribed spacer 2
Source: RNAcentral
AUUGCGUCGCCCCAGACUACGCCUCCCCAACGGGGAUGCGUUCGACUGGGGCGGAGAAUGGUCUCCCGUGUCGUCGGCGUGGUUGGCCUAAAAAGGAGUCCCCUUCGGCGGACGCACGGCUAGUGGUGGUUGUUAAGGCCUUCGUAUCGAGCCGUGUGUCGUUAGCCGCAAGGGAAGCACUCUUUAAAGACCCCAAUGUGUCGUCUCGUGACGACGCUUCGA